AGCUCAGUGGUAGAACAUGUGCUUAGCAUGCACAAGACCCUGGGUUCAAUCCCAG
This 55-nucleotide transfer RNA is filed under the name Marmota marmota marmota (Alpine marmot). It matches the Rfam family "tRNA", at positions 9 to 63 of the family's 71-position model. From Rfam's summary of the family: Transfer RNA (tRNA) molecules are approximately 80 nucleotides in length. Their secondary structure includes four short double-helical elements and three loops (D, anti-codon, and T loops). The record is from Rfam by way of RNAcentral. Lineage: Eukaryota; Metazoa; Chordata; Mammalia; Rodentia; Sciuridae. RNAcentral also lists the same sequence under 3 other names.